Molecule: ribosomal RNA, 1372 nt
Filed under: uncultured bacterium
Lineage: Bacteria
Description: bacterial SSU rRNA
Rfam family: Bacterial small subunit ribosomal RNA
Source: RNAcentral
GAUGAACGCUGGCGGCGUGCCUAAUACAUGCAAGUCGAGCGAACGGACGAGAAGCUUGCUUUUCUGAUGUUAGCGGCGGACGGGUGAGUAACACGUGGAUAACCUACCUAUAAGACUGGGAUAACUUCGGGAAACCGGAGCUAAUACCGGAUAAUAUUUUGAACCGCAUGGUUCAAAAGUGAAAGACGGUCUUGCUGUCACUUAUAGAUGGAUCCGCGCUGCAUUAGCUAGUUGGUAAGGUAACGGCUUACCAAGGCAACGAUGCAUAGCCGACCUGAGAGGGUGAUCGGCCACACUGGAACUGAGACACGGUCCAGACUCCUACGGGAGGCAGCAGUAGGGAAUCUUCCGCAAUGGGCGAAAGCCUGACGGAGCAACGCCGCGUGAGUGAUGAAGGUCUUCGGAUCGUAAAACUCUGUUAUUAGGGAAGAACAUAUGUGUAAGUAACUGUGCACAUCUUGACGGUACCUAAUCAGAAAGCCACGGCUAACUACGUGCCAGCAGCCGCGGUAAUACGUAGGUGGCAAGCGUUAUCCGGAAUUAUUGGGCGUAAAGCGCGCGUAGGCGGUUUUUUAAGUCUGAUGUGAAAGCCCACGGCUCAACCGUGGAGGGUCAUUGGAAACUGGAAAACUUGAGUGCAGAAGAGGAAAGUGGAAUUCCAUGUGUAGCGGUGAAAUGCGCAGAGAUGUGGAGGAACACCAGUGGCGAAGGCGACUCUCUGGUCUGUAACUGACGCUGAUGUGCGAAAGCGUGGGGAUCAAACAGGAUUAGAUACCCUGGUAGUCCACGCCGUAAACGAUGAGUGCUAAGUGUUAGGGGGUUUCCGCCCCUUAGUGCUGCAGCUAACGCAUUAAGCACUCCGCCUGGGGAGUACGACCGCAAGGUUGAAACUCAAAGGAAUUGACGGGGGCCCGCACAAGCGGUGGAGCAUGUGGUUUAAUUCGAAGCAACGCGAAGAACCUUACCAAAUCUUGACAUCCUUUGACAACUCUAGAGAUAGAGCCUUCCCCUUCGGGGGACAAAGUGACAGGUGGUGCAUGGUUGUCGUCAGCUCGUGUCGUGAGAUGUUGGGUCAAGUCCCGCAACGAGCGCAACCCUUAAGCUUAGUUGCCAUCAUUAAGUUGGGCACUCUAAGUUGACUGCCGGUGACAAACCGGAGGAAGGUGGGGAUGACGUCAAAUCAUCAUGCCCCUUAUGAUUUGGGCUACACACGUGCUACAAUGGACAAUACAAAGGGCAGCGAAACCGCGAGGUCAAGCAAAUCCCAUAAAGUUGUUCUCAGUUCGGAUUGUAGUCUGCAACUCGACUACAUGAAGCUGGAAUCGCUAGUAAUCGUAGAUCAGCAUGCUACGGUGAAUACGUUCCCGGGUCU